Cavia aperea (Brazilian guinea pig) is the source of this 110-nucleotide small nucleolar RNA. The record is from Ensembl. NCBI's taxonomy places the organism in Eukaryota, Metazoa, Chordata, Mammalia, Rodentia, Caviidae.
CUGGCCCUGAAUCAAGGCUGGCAGCUUCCUAAAGAGUUGUCUUUCUAUGGUCUGUUGGUCAUUUCAGAACUUGGGCAGUGAAAUGGUCAACUCAUUAGAAAGAAACAGCU